This 46-nucleotide non-coding RNA is filed under the name Schistosoma bovis. RNAcentral also lists the same sequence under 1 other name. Lineage: Eukaryota; Metazoa; Platyhelminthes; Trematoda; Strigeidida; Schistosomatidae. The record is from RNAcentral.
GCAGUGCUGAGGAGUCCCAUACCAGGACGAAACGGCCGUCCAGUGC